AUUGAGGCGUGUCUUCCCUGGUUCUGCGUCCGUGAAGCCUAGAGAUUCCCGAGCCUGGGUCACCCGGGCGGUGUCGCAUGUCGUCUGCGGGGAGGUUGGGGCUGCUCGCGCGAGGCGCUCUGGGUCUCAUUUCCGAGGCCGAAAAUGCUGGCUCCAAAGUGGUGCCCUGGGAGAUGAGGGCGACUCGCAGAUUCCACCCUAUUCUCUGAAUGGGCUUCGAGUCUCCAUGGUGGUGGUUGUGAGAAUUAAGGGAACCUCAGAGCAAUGGCCAGCACACAAUGACCCUUCAAAUGUCAGCGGCUUUGAUGAUCACCAUUCUUACCUUUUCUUUGGAGAUUUGGACAAGUUACCGCCCCACCUUCCUCCAGGGUCUUUGUGUAUUGAUCUGCAGGUUGGAUGUAUUGGAUGUUACGACCACUAAACUUUCUUCUGAGCACACACGAGCAGUGGUGUUGUUCUCUCUGAGAAAUACUACAGGCUUUGGUGUUAAGACACUGGAAUUCCGGAAACCUGUCCCUGUCAUACCAGUUGCUGUGUGACCUCCGUCAAUCAUGGUUCUUUACUGAGCCCUGAGACUCCGCACGUGAAAAUGGAUGGGGAUGAACUUCCAGUCCAGGCAGUGCCACUGACUUUGCUUGGGGACCUGGGGCAAGCUCUGUGGCCCAGCAUUGCACCAUCUGUAACAACAUAACCAAGGGGUGCGCAAUUGAGCUUUGAGGUUAAUUUCGGUGCUAAAAUCCCGGUCAGUAGUUCCGUCAUCUUCACAGACCUCACCCUACCCAAUGCCCUUAUUGUGCUCCACAUCCCAAUCAACACUUACUGAUUCCAGAUUUGUAAUUUUUGCCAUUGUAGUGAGAAGUAAUUAACUAUUUUAUGGUUUUUUAAAUUUGAAUUUUUGACUAUCAGGAUUAGCAUAUUUUUUUUUUCUUCGUUAAAGACUAGUCAAGUGCAUUAGUGAGGAGGGGGGAAAGAGUAGACCAAGGAAUUUGGUCUGUAACUGACUGUGGACAAUACAUUGGUAGAACUCACUACCUUUGAGCCAGCCAGAAUCUUUUUAUUAUUCACUGGAUAUUCAGGUUUUGCCUCUGUAAAUUUUCUUUCAUUGCCAUUUUUUUCAAAUAGUUCAUUCAAUCUUUGUUUUCAGAUGUGCUUUCCACAAUCAGGUUACAAAUUCUCUGCCACUAAUGAUCAUU
This 1193-nucleotide long non-coding RNA is filed under the name Homo sapiens (human). RNAcentral describes it as "non-protein coding lnc-EDDM13-5:9". Lineage: Eukaryota; Metazoa; Chordata; Mammalia; Primates; Hominidae. The record is from RNAcentral.